Molecule: ribosomal RNA, 595 nt
Filed under: uncultured crenarchaeote
Lineage: Archaea; Thermoproteati; Thermoproteota
Description: bacterial SSU rRNA
Rfam family: Archaeal small subunit ribosomal RNA
Source: RNAcentral
AGCCCGGAGAUGGACACUGAGACAAGGGUCCAGGCCCUAAGGGGCGCAGCAACCGCGAAACCUCCACAAUGCACUCACGUGCGAUGGGGCUAUCUCGAGUGCCACCUGAUGAAGGUGGCUUUUCCUAGGUCUUCAAAGCCUUGGGAAUAAGAGGGGGGCAAGACUGGUGUCAGCCGCCGCGGUAACACCAGCCCCUCGAGUGGUGGGGAUGAUUAUCGGGCAUAAAGCGUCCGUAGCCGGCCGAGCAAGUCCUCCGUUAAAUCCAGCGUCUCAAGCGUUGGACCGCGGGAGAUACUACACGGCUAGAGAGUGGGAGAGGUCAGCGGUAGUCUGGGGGUAGGGGCGAAAUCCUUUGAUCCCCGGAGGACCACCAGUGGCGAAGACUGCUGACUAGAACACGUCUGACGGUCAGGGACGAAAGCUGGGGUAGCGAACCGGAUUAGAUACCCGGGUAGUCCCAGCCGUAAACGAUGCAUGCUAGGUGUUGGGUUGGCCACGAGCCACCCCAGUGCCGCAGGGAAGCCGUUAAGCAUGCCGCCUGGGAAGUACGAUCGCAAGGUUGAAACUUAAAGGAAUUGGCGGGGGAGCACAAUCG